UCACAUGACAAUCUCAGGUUUCAGGAUGCUUGAUUUGAUCUCUUUGUGCGGGAGAAUAACACCGCCGUUGGUAUAGACCUCAUCACCUACAUGUACGUCCUCUCCUAGGAUAGUCAUAUUUUCUAUCCGUGCCCAUUGUCCAACAGUUGAGUGCCAUCCAAUAAUGCUGUUUGAUAUGCAAGCAUGCUUCUUAAUACGCACGCCACGCAUCACCGUGCAACGGGAAAGCCUCACACCAUCCUCCACGACGCAUCCAGGACCAAUAGCAACAUCAGGACCAAUCAGACAGCCUUCGCCAAUCUUCGCACUCUCGUGAACUAGCACAUUCCCAACAAUGUGUGCUCCAGUGGCUAACCUGUUGGCUGAUCUCUUCCUAAGUGAAUCCAGAUAAAGGCGCAAGCCUGUAAUGUAAUCCCUUGGUUGGCCAACAUCCAUCCAAAAACCUGGAAGGACCAUAGCAAAGAGCUUUGCAUCAGCUGAGAUUCGAGGAAAGACCUCUUUCUCAAUUGAAGUUGGCUUUAGCUCGAUGCGGUCCAGGACAGACGGGUUCAACAAGUAAAUUCCUGCAUUGAUCUUGUUGCCUACAAAUAUUUUUGGUUUCUCAACAAAUUUUUCCACCAUUCCAGUGGCCUCCUCCAUAACCACAACACCAUAUUUUGAUGGUUCGAUCUACCUUGGUGACCAUAAUUGUUGCCUCACCACCAUGGUUCUUGUGAAAUUUUAUGAGCUCAGCAAAAGGGUAUUCACUUAUGACGUCACUGUUGAGGACAAAGAAUGGCUCACCAGAUCCAUCCACAAGCUUGUCCCUUGCUAGAGCAAGAGGGCCAGCAGUUCCCAAGGGCUCAGUCUCUUGGGAACACGUGAUUGUGAUGCCAAGCUUAUCCUCAAAGUCCUUCAGGAAAUUGAGCAUUACCUCGGGCGGUAGUUGAUGGCUAAAACAACUUCUGUUACUCCAACUUCUUUCAAGGCCUCAAUCUGAUGCAGAAUCAUGGGCUUGUUCGCGAAAUCAACAAGAGGCUUUGGGAAACUGAGCGUUAAAGGCCGAAGGCGAGUGCCGAAGCCUCCAACCAGAAUGAGCGCCUUCAUGGUGAAUCGCCUCCU
Molecule: small RNA, 1101 nt
Filed under: Oryza sativa Japonica Group (Japanese rice)
Lineage: Eukaryota; Viridiplantae; Streptophyta; Magnoliopsida; Poales; Poaceae
Description: sRNA Os08g0237500
Source: RNAcentral